UACGGAGGGGGCUAGCGUUGUUCGGAAUUACUGGGCGUAAAGCGCACGUAGGCGGCUUUGUAAGUUAGAGGUGAAAGCCCAGGGCUCAACCCUGGAAUUGCCUUUAAGACUGCAUCGCUUGAAUCAUGGAGAGGUGAGUGGAAUUCCGAGUGUAGAGGUGAAAUUCGUAGAUAUUCGGAAGAACACCAGUGGCGAAGGCGACUCACUGGACAUGUAUUGACGCUGAGGCACGAAGGCCAGGGGAGCAAACGGG
RNAcentral lists this ribosomal RNA (253 nucleotides) under uncultured bacterium. RNAcentral's name for it is "partial 16S ribosomal RNA". It matches the Rfam family "Bacterial small subunit ribosomal RNA", at positions 524 to 776 of the family's 1533-position model. The record is from RNAcentral.